RNAcentral lists this ribosomal RNA (443 nucleotides) under uncultured Bacillota bacterium. RNAcentral describes it as "uncultured Firmicutes bacterium partial 16S ribosomal RNA". Lineage: Bacteria; Bacillati; Bacillota. The record is from RNAcentral.
GACUACUGGGGUAUCUAAUCCUGUUUGCUCCCCACGCUUUCGAGUCUCAGUGUCAGUUACAGUCCAGUGAGUCGCCUUCGCCUCCGGUGUUCUUCCUAAUCUCUACGCAUUCUACCGCUACACUAGGAAUUCCACUCACCUCUCCUGCACUCUAGUUACACAGUAUCACAUGCUCUUCCAAAGUUAAGCCUUGGUAUUUCACAUGUGACUUAUAUAACCACCUACACUCUCUUUACGCCCAGUAAUUCCGGAUAACGCUUGCCACCUACGUUUUACCGCGGCUGCUGGCACGUAGUUUGCCAUGGCUUUCUCAUAGGGUACCAUCACUUUCUUUUUCCCCUAUAACAGAAGUUUACAAUCCGAAGACCUUCUUCCUUCACGCGGCGUUGCUGGGUCAGGCUUUCGCCCAUUGCCCAAUAUUCCCCACUGCAGCCCCCCGUAGG